GAGAUUAAAAAGCUACACUCUGUUGUGCUUAGAUCAAACGCCUGUUAUUCGGCAGAGGUAAUUAACCUUUAAAGUGCUGGCGGUUUUUUUUUUUAAUUAUUAUUAUUUCCUUUUUGGAAUCUUCAGCUUUUAAAGGAAUCUUCCAAAGCUUUCUUUGAUGUUACACAUUUCCAACACCCGUAACAGCAUCUCCGAGGGUCGGUCAAUGGAGGCUUGAGCUCUUGAAAGCUUUCCUUUUGUUCUCUCCCCCUCCCCUUCUACGUUUCCCUCUCUUGACUUUCUUUUAAACAGAGUUGGGAAUGAAACAGCAGACAGAUAACCCACCAGAGCGAGACAGGCAGGUCAAAUUUUGGGCGUAUGGCUCAGAUAAAACUAGGAAGACCAUUUUUGGGUGUGACUCCUGAGGAUGAAGGACUUCUUCAAGCCAUUUAAAACCUCUGCAUGACCACAACCGAAGGAAAAAAAGAGACACCAGAUGCCAGGUCUUCCAACAAGAUGUCAGUAUAUUAAAGAUAAUGCAGCGAUUCUUGCACUAUCUUUAAUUUGGACUUCGGGGAUGCCAUGCCAUCAGCAACCUGGCAUGACAGAGAGGAUGUCUGCUGGUCUUGCCAGGAUGUUGGCAAGAUGCCACCGCUGUCACCUUCUCUGGUGACUUGUGGCCUUCUCAGUUGCCUCGACCUCUCUGCUUGCCAGUGCAUGAAUUUGGGACAUUCAGCUGCUUGGGAAAACAAUUCUGGAAGCUCUGAAAAUCAAGGUGACACAAAAGAAACCAAUGGCGUGGAAAACACCCUGACAUGGAUGCCUUAAGCCUAACUGGGAAUUUCUGAGAGCAAUGGGAUUGUCAUCAGCUGCCUCUCCUGAGAACUUUGAUUAGACUAACAAAAAGAUAACCUGGAGUGAAGCAAGCUGUAUAGAAAUACGUACAGUCAAUUCAGGAUAUUUUUCUUUUCUGGGAAUUUAAUAAAUUAGUUAUUACCUCAUUACUUUUCUAUACU
This 995-nucleotide long non-coding RNA is filed under the name Salvator merianae (Argentine black and white tegu). RNAcentral's name for it is "lncRNA (ENSSMRG00000015153.1)". Lineage: Eukaryota; Metazoa; Chordata; Lepidosauria; Squamata; Teiidae. The record is from RNAcentral.